This 184-nucleotide non-coding RNA is filed under the name Salmo salar (Atlantic salmon). RNAcentral's name for it is "Eukaryotic large subunit ribosomal RNA". It matches the Rfam family "Eukaryotic large subunit ribosomal RNA", at positions 1640 to 1823 of the family's 3401-position model. Lineage: Eukaryota; Metazoa; Chordata; Actinopteri; Salmoniformes; Salmonidae. The record is from Rfam by way of RNAcentral.
UGCGGUAACGCAGCCGAUCCCGGAGAAGCUGGCGGGAGCCCUGGGGAGAGUUCUCUUUUCUUUGUGAAAGGCAGGGCGCCCUGGAAUGGGUUCUCCCCAAGAGAGGGGCCCAAGCCCUGGAAAGCAUUGCGGUUUCGGCGGCAUCCGGUGAGCUCUCCGUGACCUUUGAAAACCUGGGGGAGAG